AAUCAACGCUGGCGGCGUGCCUAACACAUGCAAGUCGAACGCGAAAAGGGCUUCGGCUCUUAGUAGAGUGGCAAACGGGUGAGUAACACGUGGGUGACCUACCUUCGAAUGGAGGAUAACGUCCCGAAAGGGACGCUAAUACCGCAUAACAUCCUGCCUUUGAACAGGUGGAGAUCAAAGCCGGGGAUCGCAAGACCUGGCGUUUGAAGAGGGGGCCCGCGUCUGAUUAGCUAGUGGUGAGGUAACGGCUCACCAAGGCGACGAUCAGUAUCCGGCCUGAGAGGGCGGACGGACACACUGGGACUGAGACACGGCCCAGACUCCUACGGGAGGCAGCAGUGGGGAAUUGUUCGCAAUGGGCGCAAGCCUGACGACGCAA
This 379-nucleotide ribosomal RNA is filed under the name uncultured bacterium. RNAcentral describes it as "bacterial SSU rRNA". It matches the Rfam family "Bacterial small subunit ribosomal RNA", at positions 32 to 394 of the family's 1533-position model. The record is from RNAcentral.